AUGAACGCUAGCUACAGGCUUAACACAUGCAAGUCGAGGGGCAGCAUUUUAGUUUGCUUGCAAACUGAAGAUGGCGACCGGCGCACGGGUGAGUAACACGUAUCCAACCUGCCGAUAACUCCGGAAUAGCCUUUCGAAAGAAAGAUUAAUACCGGAUAGCAUACGAAUAUCGCAUGAUAUUUUUAUUAAAGAAUUUCGGUUAUCGAUGGGGAUGCGUUCCAUUAGUUUGUUGGCGGGGUAACGGCCCACCAAGACUACGAUGGAUAGGGGUUCUGAGAGGAAGGUCCCCCACAUUGGAACUGAGACACGGUCCAAACUCCUACGGGAGGCAGCAGUGAGGAAUAUUGGUCAAUGGGCGAGAGCCUGAACCAGCCAAGUAGCGUGAAGGAUGAAGGCUCUAUGGGUCGUAAACUUCUUUUAUAUGGGAAUAAAGUUUUCCACGUGUGGAAUUUUGUAUGUACCAUAUGAAUAAGGAUCGGCUAACUCCGUGCCAGCAGCCGCGGUAAUACGGAGGAUCCGAGCGUUAUCCGGAUUUAUUGGGUUUAAAGGGAGCGUAGGUGGAUUGUUAAGUCAGUUGUGAAAGUUUGCGGCUCAACCGUAAAAUUGCAGUUGAAACUGGCAGUCUUGAGUACAGUAGAGGUGGGCGGAAUUCGUGGUGUAGCGGUGAAAUGCUUAGAUAUCACGAAGAACUCCGAUUGCGAAGGCAGCUCACUAGACUGUCACUGACACUGAUGCUCGAAAGUGUGGGUAUCAAACAGGAUUAGAUACCCUGGUAGUCCACACAGUAAACGAUGAAUACUCGCUGUUUGCGAUAUACAGUAAGCGGCCAAGCGAAAGCAUUAAGUAUUCCACCUGGGGAGUACGCCGGCAACGGUGAAACUCAAAGGAAUUGACGGGGGCCCGCGCAAGCGGAGGAACAUGUGGUUUAAUUCGAUGAUACGCGAGGAACCUUACCCGGGCUUAAAUUGCAACAGAAUAUAUUGGAAACAGUAUAGCUGUAAGGCUGUUGUGAAGGUGCUGCAUGGUUGUCGUCAGCUCGUGCCGUGAGGUGUCGGCUUAAGUGCCAUAACGAGCGCAACCCUUAUCUUUAGUUACUAACAGGUCAUGCUGAGGACUCUAGAGAGACUGCCGUCGUAAGAUGUGAGGAAGGUGGGGAUGACGUCAAAUCAGCACGGCCCUUACGUCCGGGGCUACACACGUGUUACAAUGGGGGGUACAGAAGGCGGCUACCUGGUGACAGGAUGCUAAUCCCAAAAACCUCUCUCAGUUCGGAUCGAAGUCUGCAACCCGACUUCGUGAAGCUGGAUUCGCUAGUAAUCGCGCAUCAGCCAUGGCGCGGUGAAUACGUUCCCGGGCCUUGUACACACCGCCCGUCAAGCCAUGAAAGCCGGGGGUACCUGAAGUACGUAACCGCAAGGAGCGUCCUAGGGUAAAACUGGUAAUUGGGGCUAAG
This 1453-nucleotide ribosomal RNA is filed under the name uncultured organism. RNAcentral describes it as "SSU rRNA". It matches the Rfam family "Bacterial small subunit ribosomal RNA". The record is from RNAcentral.